ACACAAGCGACCAUGUGUGUCGCGUUACCGUCUAUUGCCUUGGCAAAGAACUAUUUUAUGUAGCAAGUUUUAUGAAUCAUUAUUAAUAUCGGGGCAGGCAGAACGAUAGGAAGCCCCCUCGAUAACACUAUUCUUGGAGCGUUUUCAAACUGUUGGAUAAGUGGAAUGGGAACGGCCGCUCAUUGGUUGAUAACUUAUCCAGAGAGUGGAGCUGAUACGCCGGGGACCUGUCACUCAGUCGCCAUACUCUCAUAUGAUAGGACGUCAGACAGACUACCAGCACUGGUAUCAUCCCUUCCCGUUACCAUAACAACCGACUCCACGGCGACUGUUCUUGCACUUGGCACCGAAACUCACUCCGCUGCUAAUUAUAUCACAGAAAAUAGCUACCAGUCAUGGAAUUCCAAAAAUAUCGGGUGGCUGGGAGCAAGAAAGAAGGCGCGUGCAGUUGGCCUCCGUAAUGAAACGGAGGCGCGCAAGUCAUUAUUAUGCUAGCAAGUCGUAACCAAUCACACUUGGGACACCACACGCAUUCCAACAAAACUUUUUUCUUUGGUAGAGAGCGCCUUUUUCCGCGUGUGUCAUCUUCUACAAUAGCUACAGUGUCCGAUUGUAAAGUGGUGGGUAAACAGUGAUUAUAAAGAUUCAUCCAACCAUGGGCUACUAUCCGUAUCAUCCUCGAGGAUAAAUCGCAUCGGAAUCACAUCAUAUCCAUGAGAUAGUUGGGGGAGGAUCAACUUAACUCCGAUUUAAAUAACAUUUCUAAAUCAAUUCAGCAAUUCAUCAAAUGAGAUUGAUGAAAAUCAUAUCUUUAUUCGAUAGAUCGAUUCAAUGCCAUCAGAUGAAGUGGACACCUUAUAGAUCAAGGGACAGCGAUUAGUACCUCAGUCCCUAUAGACUCCACCCAUCACCAGUAAAUAGACGGACGGCUAGUAAGAAACUUUUCUUUGGGAGGAAAAUCAGAUUCCAUUUUCGUGCAGGAAAGCCAGCAAACCUCAUCGAUACUUUGUUCGUCAUUCUUAAGGGUGUAACUGAAACUUUGGAUGAAGGGAGAGAGUUCUUUGAUGAUCCUUUCCAAAAUGGGGACGAGGAGAUAACAUUUGAAGAAUCCUGAGAAACUAUUUUGAAGCCAGGAAUCUAUUGGUCUUCAAUUUCGUAUUGAAUCAGACUCGGAGAAUUCAAGCCGAAACGUGGAACAUAUUUACGGAUACCAUAUCCACUUGGGAUUCCCUAAAAGGAAUUUUAUCAUUUCGUUCUCAAAAGAGAAUCUACAACGAUCAUCAUGUUGAUACUGUGUUUGCUCUGUCUCACUUGGAUGAUUCCUAUGUUGGCCGGGUCUACCUUGGUGCCAGGAGAUCGUUCAUCGUCAGAGAGAAAUGUUGACGAUUCACACUACCUACCUCCAACUAACCCACUCUUACUUCUCGAGGAAUACACUUCUUUAAAAUCACAGAUGGAGGACCUGGACCCCUUAGCGUUCCCACCUGGAACCGAGAUUCGAAUAGCCCCACACAAAGUCCUGAAACCUUCAAGCGAAGAAGCCAUGCAGAUUACAGAAAAACAAUACCUCCGCGGGGACUGGUGCAAAACGCAACCCUUGAAGCAAAGAAUUGAAGAGCCAGGAUGCAUCCCAAGGACCAUCGCAAAUAGAUUCUGUUACGGACAGUGUAACUCUUUCUUUAUCCCCAAACAAGCGGCGUCUUACAACGAAGCUUUCAAAUCAUGCUCUUUUUGUAAACCGUUUCGAGUUAACCACAUUACAGUAACUUUGCGAUGCCCUGGUCAGAAUCCACCUAUCAAAAGGAAACGGGUUCCGAGAGUAAAACGGUGCAGAUGCAUGGCGGUGGAUGUUCCGUAAAUAAACAUCCGAUGGGACGGUAUAACUUUAUAAAACACUAUUUAUAUCCUGUGGACAAAACUUGAGAUGAAAAGGACAUCUUUGAUGAAUUUAUCUAUGACAUGUAUCAAUAUUAUUUCUAUCUCAUCGUAUCAAGAAAAAAAAGAAGAAACACGGCCACACGGUACACACACAGUAUUCAAGGUAUACACAUUAUCGUGUAUGGGAUGCGUGUCGCAGGCUCUGAUUGGUGGAAUAGGAAACUCAACGAAUCAUCACGUGACUUAACGAGAUGACGACAUUUACUGAGUGGUGUCCAAACAGCUCUGUGUGGCGUACAAAGGGAGCUCAAAGGCACAACGCCAUAUUUAUGCAAUUAAUAUAAUGCACUCAUUAAUUAUUGAUAUUUGUAUAACAGAAGAUAUGAGAUAUUCACAUUGUACAUAUUGUAUAAUGAUAUAAUCUGUACUGUAUUCAAUGAAGAUAUUCUCUACUACUCUCGUAUUUUUGUGAGUGAAAUAUAAUGUAAAUACAUGGAGAUAUGUAUGAACUAUACAA
Lytechinus pictus (painted urchin) is the source of this 2395-nucleotide long non-coding RNA. RefSeq lists it as uncharacterized. NCBI's taxonomy places the organism in Eukaryota, Metazoa, Echinodermata, Echinoidea, Temnopleuroida, Toxopneustidae. The transcript is spliced from 2 exons. The record is from RefSeq and is a predicted model, not a curated record.